This 1975-nucleotide unclassified non-coding RNA is filed under the name Hevea brasiliensis (rubber tree). The record is from RNAcentral. Lineage: Eukaryota; Viridiplantae; Streptophyta; Magnoliopsida; Malpighiales; Euphorbiaceae.
UUAUUUAAUUUUUUAUUUAUUUUAAUUUGAUUCAAUUUAUAAUAUUGUGUAAUUCAGUGUAUUCAAUUUUAUAGAUUCAAUUAUUCUAUUUUAACAUAAUACUCAGCCCUAUCUGUCCUCGUUCUUUACCUCUUGGCGGUAGAAGACAGAUUGUUACAGUCGUGAGCUUCCCUCCAGAACGCCACUACCUUCUUCCUCAAUUCAUCAACAGUUCAACACACACCCGAGCUAAGUUCCUCCUCCUCCUCAUUGUAACGGCCUUCCCUGGUGGCUUCCGAGGUUGCUCACCGGGCUUCUCACAGUGCAUGCGACCGUAACAACAACAUGGGAGUGGUAAAAGAUGGAAAAGUGUCAGGAAUUAUACCCAGCAAUGAGGCAUUCGCGGUGCACUAUCCUGGAUAUCCCUCUUCCAUGUCUCGCGCCGUCCAAACUCUCGGAGGCACCCAAGCAAUUCUUAAGGCUCGUAGCUCGCAAUCGAACAAGUUGGAUCUCUAUUUCCGCCCCGAGGAUCCCUAUUCACAUCCUUCAUCUGGGGAGCUUCGUGGCUGUAGCAAUUUGCUAUUGAAAAUAUCUAAGAAGACGUCAAAUUCUUCCCUUGAUUCACCCAAUUCUGCCAAUAAAUCAGAAGCUGAAUCACGUGUUGAAAAAGAGCUUUGUGUUGAUAUUGCUGCUCGGAUUCCAGAGGCUUAUCAUUUUGAGGGAAUGGCGGACUACCAGCAUGUUGUUGCAGUUCAUGCUGAUACGGCCCGCAGGAAAAAGAGGAAUUGGACAGAAAUGGAGGAGCCACAUUUUGAAAAGGCUGGUCUCAUGGAUUUGGAUCAGGAGGAUGUGAUGAUAUUAUUGCCUCCACUUUUCACAACCAAGGAUUUGCCAGUGAAUUUAGUCUUGAAACCACCAGCCACUGCAAGUUCAAAAAAGAAACAAGAAGAAGCUGUAGAAAGCCAUGUUGAGAUGAACCUAGAGCCUGCCCUUGCUAUUGAUUUUAACAUUAAAGAGAUUCCUAAAGAAAUAAAUUGGAAGGCAAAUAUAGUACAAGGCACAGAGCUGUGGGGGUGGCAGAUGGCGGUAUCUGAUCUGUUUGAGGAGCGGCCUAUAUGGCCCAAGGAUGCACUGACUGACCGCUUACUAGAUAAAAACUUGAAAUUUACCCAUCAAACACUUAGAAGACUCCUGCUUGCAGUUGCAUACUACUUUUCAGGUGGACCAUUUCUCAGGUUCUGGAUCAGAAAAGGAUAUGAUCCACGCAAAGAUCCUGAGUCUCGCAUAUAUCAGAGAAUUGACUUUCGAGUACCACCUUCUUUAAGAAGUUAUUCUGAUGCUAAUGCUGCUAAUGGCUUGAAGCAGAAAUGGGAGGAUUUGUGCAAAUUUCAAGUUUUCCCUUACAAAUGCCAGACAUCACUGCAACUGUCUGAACUUGAUGAUGAUUACAUUCAACAAGAGAUAAGAAAGCCUCCAAAGCAGACUACUUGCACACAUGGAACAGGUUGGUUCAUACAGCACGUGCAUGAUAGCUUGAGACUUCGUGUGAUGGUGAGGUUCCUAUCAGUAUACCCAAAAUCCGGUGCAGCUAAGUUACUAAAAGCUGCUUCUGAAGAUUUUGAAAAGUCAAAGAGGGCAUGCAUUUAUAAAGAUGGCUUAAAAAUGGAUCAAGAACACCAGCAAAUUAAUAAAGAAGUCAUAGGCGAUGAAACAAAUGAAAAUCAAAACAUUGUUGAUGAAGGUGAGGUAGAUGACAUUGAGGCUGAUGAUCCUGAAGAGGAAUUAGAUGCAUAUGAAGCAUUGGAUCUGGCUGGGGACGAUGAUGAAGCCUCUUUGCUAUCACAUUCAUAUAUGGGGAACAACUCAAGAAGCUAUUUGCAAGAGCUCUUUGAUAGCUUUCAACCAGUGGAUGCCAGUGGUGAUAAAAUACAGGAUGCUGACAGUAGUGAUGGAGAGUAUCAGAUUUAUGAGCAAGAUGAUGAUGAUGAUGAUGAUG